RNAcentral lists this ribosomal RNA (481 nucleotides) under uncultured bacterium. RNAcentral describes it as "partial 16S ribosomal RNA". It matches the Rfam family "Bacterial small subunit ribosomal RNA", at positions 28 to 523 of the family's 1533-position model. The record is from RNAcentral.
GACGAACGCUGGCGGCGUGCUUAACACAUGCGAGUCGAACGCUGAAGCCCUUUCGGGGGUGGAUGAGUGGCGAACGGGUGAGUAACACGUGGGUAACCUGCCCUGCACUCUGGGAUAAGCCUUGGAAACGGGGUCUAAUACCGGAUAGGACACAUCGCCGCAUGGUGUGUGUGUGGAAAGUUCCGGCGGUGCAGGUUGAGCCCGCGGCCUAUCAGCUUGUUGGUGGGGUGAUGGCCUACCAAGGCGACGACGGGUAGCCGGCCUGAGAGGGUGACCGGCCACACUGGGACUGAGACACGGCCCAGACUCCUACGGGAGGCAGCAGUGGGGAAUCUUGCGCAAUGGGCGAAAGCCUGACGCAGCAACGCCGCGUGGGGGAUGACGGCCUUCGGGUUGUAAACCUCUUUCGACCGGGACGAAGGGUGACUGACGGUACCGGUAGAAGAAGCACCGGCUAACUACGUGCCAGCCGCCGCAGUAA